This 73-nucleotide transfer RNA is filed under the name Paracoccus saliphilus. RNAcentral's name for it is "tRNA_Ala_CGC". It matches the Rfam family "tRNA". From Rfam's summary of the family: Transfer RNA (tRNA) molecules are approximately 80 nucleotides in length. Their secondary structure includes four short double-helical elements and three loops (D, anti-codon, and T loops). Lineage: Bacteria; Pseudomonadati; Pseudomonadota; Alphaproteobacteria; Rhodobacterales; Paracoccaceae. The record is from RNAcentral.
GGGGCCGUAGCUCAGUCGGUAGAGCGCAUCGUUCGCAAUGAUGAGGUCAGGGGUUCGAUUCCCCUCGGCUCCA